Molecule: transfer RNA, 63 nt
Filed under: Tomoxia bucephala
Lineage: Eukaryota; Metazoa; Arthropoda; Insecta; Coleoptera; Mordellidae
Description: tRNA-Trp
Source: RNAcentral
AAGGAUUUAAGUUAAGUAAACUAAUGACCUUCAAAGUCGUAAAUGGAGCCUCUUCAGCCCUUG